Molecule: ribosomal RNA, 768 nt
Filed under: uncultured bacterium
Lineage: Bacteria
Description: bacterial SSU rRNA
Rfam family: Bacterial small subunit ribosomal RNA
Source: RNAcentral
GCUGGCGGCAGGCUUAACACAUGCAAGUCGAGCGGUAACAGGAGAAGCUUGCUUCUCGCUGACGAGCGGCGGACGGGUGAGUAAUACUUAGGAAUCUACCUAGUAGUGGGGGAUAGCUCGGGGAAACUCGAAUUAAUACCGCAUACGACCUACGGGAGAAAGGGGGCAACUUGUUGCUCUCGCUAUUAGAUGAGCCUAAGUCGGAUUAGCUAGAUGGUGGGGUAAAGGCCUACCAUGGCGACGAUCUGUAGCUGGUCUGAGAGGAUGAUCAGCCACACCGGGACUGAGACACGGCCCGGACUCCUACGGGAGGCAGCAGUGGGGAAUAUUGGACAAUGGGGGCAACCCUGAUCCAGCCAUGCCGCGCGUGUGAAGAAGGCCUUUUGGUUGUAAAGCACUUUAAGCAGUGAAGAAGACUCCAUGGUUAAUACCCAUGGACGAUGACAUUAGCUGCAGAAUAAGCACCGGCUAACUCUGUGCCAGCAGCCGCGGUAAUACAGAGGGUGCAAGCGUUAAUCGGAAUUACUGGGCGUAAAGCGAGCGUAGGUGGCUUGAUAAGUCAGAUGUGAAAGCCCCGGGCUUAACCUGGGAACGGCAUCUGAUACUGUUAGGCUAGAGUAGGUGAGAGGAAGGUAGAAUUCCAGGUGUAGCGGUGAAAUGCGUAGAGAUCUGGAGGAAUACCGAUGGCGAAGGCAGCCUUCUGGCAUCAUACUGACACUGAGGUUCGAAAGCGUGGGUAGCAAACAGGAUUAGAUACCCUGGUAGUCC